Molecule: microRNA, 21 nt
Filed under: Marchantia polymorpha subsp. ruderalis
Lineage: Eukaryota; Viridiplantae; Streptophyta; Marchantiopsida; Marchantiales; Marchantiaceae
Source: RNAcentral
UAUCAGCGUUUGGAGCUCGAG